Molecule: ribosomal RNA, 557 nt
Filed under: Allobosea sp. RDB-192
Lineage: Bacteria; Pseudomonadati; Pseudomonadota; Alphaproteobacteria; Hyphomicrobiales; Alloboseaceae
Also listed under: 3 other names
Description: bacterial SSU rRNA
Rfam family: Bacterial small subunit ribosomal RNA
Source: RNAcentral
ACGGGUGAGUAACACGUGGGAACGUACCUUUCGGUUCGGAAUAAUUCAGGGAAACUUGGACUAAUACCGGAUACGCCCUUCGGGGGAAAGAUUUAUCGCCGAUAGAUCGGCCCGCGUCUGAUUAGCUAGUUGGUGAGGUAAUGGCUCACCAAGGCGACGAUCAGUAGCUGGUCUGAGAGGAUGAUCAGCCACAUUGGGACUGAGACACGGCCCAAACUCCUACGGGAGGCAGCAGUGGGGAAUAUUGGACAAUGGGCGCAAGCCUGAUCCAGCCAUGCCGCGUGAGUGAUGAAGGCCUUAGGGUUGUAAAGCUCUUUUGUCCGGGAAGAUAAUGACUGUACCGGAAGAAUAAGCCCCGGCUAACUUCGUGCCAGCAGCCGCGGUAAUACGAAGGGGGCUAGCGUUGCUCGGAAUCACUGGGCGUAAAGGGCGCGUAGGCGGACUCUUAAGUCGGGGGUGAAAGCCCAGGGCUCAACCCUGGAAUUGCCUUCGAUACUGGGAGUCUUGAGUUCGGAAGAGGUUGGUGGAACUGCGAGUGUAGAGGUGAAAUUCGUAGA